CAAGCUUGCACUACUGGUAGGACCUUUCUCGCUUUCCUGACUGGCUUUUAAUUUUUCUUGGGAGUGCCCACUUGAAGUCUGUGCAGAAGAGUCUACAAGUUCAUGGAAACUCUGGGGUACCUGCAGCUUCCAACUUGCCCUUCAUACUAACUCAAGGAUUUUAUAUCUUCACAGUUGCCCACAUUUGGUCAAAAGAAAUGAGAAGAGCUGGAGAAAAAAAUGAAGGACAUAUUUUUUUUAAGAUUGUAUGAAAGCUAAAAAACAUACAUUUAUUGGUCCUGUAAGAAUCUUCCUGGAAAAUAUUGUGUUAAUGUAAAUGAAAGUACAUGAACAAUUUGCAAGAUGCAAGUAAAGAUCAAAUAAUAUGAAGAUUUUGUAAACAAAAAUGGGUAUCUGAAGUCUUGCAAAAUAAAGCAAAGACACAAGAUAAAAUAUCA
This 437-nucleotide long non-coding RNA is filed under the name Vulpes vulpes (red fox). RNAcentral's name for it is "lncRNA (ENSVVUG00000017327.1)". Lineage: Eukaryota; Metazoa; Chordata; Mammalia; Carnivora; Canidae. The record is from RNAcentral.